CUUUCACAGCCACUCACACAGCAGCAGCAGCACAAUGAUGAUGUCACUGACUCUCCUGCUGGCCACCCUGGGGCUCCUUGUUCAGGGUUCAUCAGGAGAAAUCAUCCUGACUCAGACUCCUGAAGCUCAGUCUGUUGUUCCAGGACAGACUGUCUCUAUCAGGUGUAAAUCCAGCACACUGAUAGGUGAUGACAUAAACUGGUACCUUCAGAAAUCUGGAGAAGCUCCUAAACUUCUGAUCUAUGAUACUACAUACCGUCAGUCUGGAGUUCCAGAUCGUUUCAGGGCAACAGCAGUUCAGACCGACUUCACUCUGAUCAUCAGUGGAGUUCAGGCUGAAGAUGCAGGAGUUUAUUACUGUCAGCAGCACAACAGCUACCCGUUCACACAGUGAAAACCCGUCGUACAAAAACCUCAGACAGCUGGAGAGGAACUGAUCUGACAGCUGCAGUCGCACAAAAAGCAUCAAGUUAUAAUCUGUUUAUUUCUAAAUGCAUACAAAUAUUUUUUCUACAUUUAAUGAUACUCAUUCUAUUGUUUUAUUAAUUGUUUUACAUAUUUUUAAAAACGUUAAACUUUUAACUUGAUUUAAAAGCAAAAACUAUCCGUCUGAAAUGAGAGUAAUAUAAAGGUCAAAAUCAUUUUACAUAAUUUUUUUUCCUCUUACAUCAAAUUAGACCAAUAAUAUUUUUAUUUCAGUUUUAUCUUUUUCAUGCAGUUUAUCAGUUUAACCCACUGACAACAUUUUGUCCUGUUUUGCUUCUGGCUUCUUCUUGAGUUUUGAUUAUUGAGAUUUUUAAAUAUUUGUUUUUAUUUUCAAGGUCAUUUCAAUGUUAACUUCCUUCAUGAGAUUUGCCCUGCAUUACUAUGAAAUACUGUCUCUACAAAAUUAAAUUAUAUUCAUUUAUUUAGUAAUUUAAUACAGAAUAAUUUAGUUUAAAUCCAAAUAUAGAGCAACUUUAAUUUUCACAGUCAUCAGCAGUAACUUUUAUCUGCAGUUUGCACUUUUGCAUCAAAGUUACACAUUCAUACAC
Archocentrus centrarchus (flier cichlid) is the source of this 1034-nucleotide non-coding RNA. NCBI's taxonomy places the organism in Eukaryota, Metazoa, Chordata, Actinopteri, Cichliformes, Cichlidae. The record is from the annotation of a RefSeq genome assembly.